Molecule: ribosomal RNA, 500 nt
Filed under: uncultured bacterium
Lineage: Bacteria
Description: bacterial SSU rRNA
Rfam family: Bacterial small subunit ribosomal RNA
Source: RNAcentral
AAGUUUUUCGCUAAGGGAUCAGUCUAUGUUCCAUCAGCUUGUUGGUGAGGUAAUGGCUCACCAAGGCUAUGACGGAUAUCUGGUUUGAGAGGAUGAUCAGACACACUGGAACUGAGACACGGUCCAGACUCCUACGGGAGGCAGCAGUGAGGAAUAUUGCACAAUGGAGGAAACUCUGAUGCAGCAACGCCGCGUGGAGGAUGACGCAUUUCGGUGCGUAAACUCCUUUUAUUAGGGAAGAUAAUGACGGUACCUAAUGAAUAAGCACCGGCUAACUCCGUGCCAGCAGCCGCGGUAAUACGGAGGGUGCAAGCGUUACUCGGAAUCACUGGGCGUAAAGGGUGCGUAGGCUGGCUUUUAAGUCAGAUGUGAAAUCCAAUGGCUCAACCAUUGAACUGCAUUUGAAACUGAAAGCCUAGAGUUCAGAAGGGGCAGAUGGAAUUAGUGGUGUAGGGGUAAAAUCCGUAGAUAUCACUAGGAAUAUCAAAAGCGAAGGCGAU